Molecule: non-coding RNA, 194 nt
Filed under: Bacteroidota bacterium
Lineage: Bacteria; Pseudomonadati; Bacteroidota
Source: RNAcentral
UGUUUACGGCCGUAUUGCGGUCCCCUCUAUAACAGGGGUUAAAAGGGAAUUCUGUGAAAACCAGAAACUGUUCCCGCAACUGUAAUCCGAACCGAUUUAUCGGGGUAAGUUCAAUCCAUACCAUUGUGGCGCCUGGCGCCAUGAGAAGGUGAACCACGGAGAGUCAGGAGACCUGCCACACUACACUAUUAUUA